AACGUGCUCCGGGGUCGGUGUAAGUCCGAACCGGCGGUGAAAGUCCGCGACCCGUUCGUUCUUCACGAAUGAACGGUUGAGCUGGUGAAAUUCCAGCACCGACGGUUAAAGUCCGGAUGAGAGGCGCACGAA
This 132-nucleotide non-coding RNA is filed under the name Cryobacterium sp. RNAcentral describes it as "FMN sequence". It matches the Rfam family "FMN riboswitch aptamer (RFN element)". From Rfam's summary of the family: The RFN element is a highly conserved domain that is found frequently in the 5'-untranslated regions of prokaryotic mRNAs that encode for flavin mononucleotide (FMN) biosynthesis and transport proteins. This element is a metabolite-dependent riboswitch that directly binds FMN in the absence of proteins. The record is from RNAcentral. Lineage: Bacteria; Bacillati; Actinomycetota; Actinomycetes; Micrococcales; Microbacteriaceae.